Molecule: unclassified non-coding RNA, 144 nt
Filed under: Mycoarthris corallina
Lineage: Eukaryota; Fungi; Ascomycota; Leotiomycetes; Helotiales
Description: partial internal transcribed spacer 2
Source: RNAcentral
UAACCCCUCAAGCUCAGCUUGGUGUUGGGGCCUGCCAACUGGCAGCCCUUAAAAUCAGUGGCGGCGCCAUCUGGCUCUAAGCGUAGUAAUUUCUCUCGCUAUAGGGUCCCGGUGGACGCUGGCCAGCAACCCCCAAUUUUCUAU